Molecule: ribosomal RNA, 250 nt
Filed under: uncultured bacterium
Lineage: Bacteria
Description: partial 16S ribosomal RNA
Rfam family: Bacterial small subunit ribosomal RNA
Source: RNAcentral
GGGGGAUCUUGGACAAUGGGGGAAACCCUGAUCCAGCGAUGCCGCGUGUGUGAAGAAGGCCUUCGGGUUGUAAAGCACUUUAGAUGUGGAGGAAGAAUAGGGGGUUAAGAGCUAUCUAUUUUGACGGUACACAAAGAAUAAGCACCGGCUAACUCUGUGCCAGCAGCCGCGGUAAUACAGAGGGUGCGAGCGUUAAUCGGAAUUACUGGGCGUAAAGGGCGCGUAGGCGGUUGAUUAAGCUGUGUGUGAA